AGCAGUCGCCGCGGGAAUACAGAGGGUGCGAGCGUUAAUCGGAUUUACUGGGCGUAAAGCGUGCGUAGGCGGCUAAUUGAGUCGGAUGUGAAAUCCCUGAGCUUAACUUAGGAAUUGCAUUCGAUACUGGGAAGCUAGAGUAUGGGAGAGGAUGGUAGAAUUCCAGGUGUAGCGGUGAAAUGCGUAGAGAUCUGGAGGAAUACCGAUGGCGAAGGCAGCCAUCUGGCCUAAUACUGACGCUGAGGUACGAAAGCAUGGGGAGCAAACAGGAUUAGAUACCCCCGUAGUCCCUGUCUCUUAUAC
Molecule: ribosomal RNA, 303 nt
Filed under: uncultured bacterium
Lineage: Bacteria
Description: partial 16S ribosomal RNA
Rfam family: Bacterial small subunit ribosomal RNA
Source: RNAcentral